AUGAACGCUGGCGGCGUGCCUAAUACAUGCCAGUCGCGCGAACAGACGAGGAGCUUGCUCCUCUGACGUUAGCGGCGGACGGGUGAGUAACACGUGGAUAACCUACCUAUAAGACUGGGAUAACUUCGGGAAACCGGAGCUAAUACCGGAUAAUAUAUUGAACCGCAUGGUUCAAUAGUGAAAGGCGGUUUUGCUGUCACUUAUAGAUGGAUCCGCGCCGCAUUAGCUAGUUGGUAAGGUAACGGCUUACCAAGGCAACGAUGCGUAGCCGACCUGAGAGGGUGAUCGGCCACACUGGAACUGAGACACGGUCCAGACUCCUACGGGAGGCAGCAGUAGGGAAUCUUCCGCAAUGGGCGAAAGCCUGACGGAGCAACGCCGCGUGAGUGAUGAAGGUCUUCGGAUCGUAAAACUCUGUUAUUAGGGAAGAACAAAUGUGGAAGUAACUAUGCACGUCUUGACGGUACCUAAUCAGAAAGCCACGGCUAACUACGUG
Molecule: ribosomal RNA, 496 nt
Filed under: uncultured bacterium
Lineage: Bacteria
Description: partial 16S ribosomal RNA
Rfam family: Bacterial small subunit ribosomal RNA
Source: RNAcentral